GGCAAGCUUGAAGGCACUUGAUUUCUUCACUUAAAUGCACUAACUCCCUUGAACCUCUUUUUCUUUCUUCUCUCUUGAAUGAUCUUGUGUUGGGUUGGUGAGAAGUUAUUGGAAAGCACUUAAGAGCUCCCUUUUAUAGCCCAAAAAGCAAAUAUAGCCGUUAGAGAUAAAGUUAAGGGAGUUUGAAAUUCAAACCAAACCUGAAAAAGUUGUCAGUCGCGUCCCAGGCGCUU
RNAcentral lists this long non-coding RNA (233 nucleotides) under Phoenix dactylifera (date palm). RNAcentral's name for it is "long non-coding RNA (PDAC_LNC021454)". The record is from RNAcentral. Lineage: Eukaryota; Viridiplantae; Streptophyta; Magnoliopsida; Arecales; Arecaceae.